CAGUGAGAUACCGGCAUAAUUUCCAGAUAUUUUAGAUGCAUCUUUUGAUUACUAGGUACUAUAAUAUGGUUCUGUUACACUAGUAGAAAAUAAUAAUAGCAGAAUUCAUAGUUUCAAUGGGUGGUUUCUCAAGUCUCGUUUGGAAUUCCUAUUGCCUCUUUCUUCACAUCAGUUCUCCAAGAACGAUCAGCGUGCAGAUUUGCAGGUGAUUUCUACUUCUCAGUCGGCUGAAGGAGCUGAAUUUGAGAUCUAGUGGAGAUGAAGGACUGAGGAGCCAAAGGUAGAUUGGAAGCUAGAGCUUUGGCUUGGUAUCAAGCAUGCAUUUGGAACAUUAAAUAGCUUGUAACCUUUUCACAUUGUUCAUUUACUUAUAACCAUUAGUUUGUUUCUUGGAUGGUGAUUUAUAGUCAGAUCAGCUGGAAUUUAAAAUUAA
Molecule: long non-coding RNA, 433 nt
Organism: Juglans microcarpa x Juglans regia
Lineage: Eukaryota; Viridiplantae; Streptophyta; Magnoliopsida; Fagales; Juglandaceae
Exons: 3
Source: RefSeq, a predicted model, not a curated record